GAUGAAGAACGUAGUGAAAUGCGAUAAGUAAUGUGAAUUGCAGAAUUCAGUGAAUCAUCGAAUCUUUGAACGCACAUUGCGCCCUCUGGUAUUCCGGAGGGCAUGCCUGUUCGAGCGUCAUUUCACCACUCAAGCCUGGCUUGGUAUUGGGCGUCGCGGUGUUCCGCGCGCCUCAAAGUCUCCGGCUGAGCUGUCCGUCUCCAAGCGUUGUGAUUUCAUUAAUCGCUUCGGAGUGCGGGCGGCCGCGGCCGUUAAAUCUUUCACAAGGUUGACCUCGGAUCAGGUAGGGAUACCCGCUGAACUUAAGCAUAUCAAUAAGCGGAGGA
Molecule: unclassified non-coding RNA, 326 nt
Filed under: soil metagenome
Description: partial contains 5.8S ribosomal RNA, internal transcribed spacer 2, and large subunit ribosomal RNA
Rfam family: 5.8S ribosomal RNA (bases 1-120)
Source: RNAcentral